Pilobolus umbonatus is the source of this 73-nucleotide non-coding RNA. The record is from the annotation of a GenBank genome assembly. NCBI's taxonomy places the organism in Eukaryota, Fungi, Mucoromycota, Mucoromycetes, Mucorales, Pilobolaceae.
GCUUCCUUGGCUCAGUUGGUAGAGCGUCAGUCUCAUAAUCUGAAGGUCGCCAGUUCGAACCUGGCAGGGAGCA